GACGAACGCUGGCGGCGUGCUUAACACAUGCAAGUCGAACGGAAAAGCCCUGCUUUUGUGGGGUGCUCGAGUGGCGAACGGGUGAGUAACACGUGAGUAACCUGCCCUUGACUUUGGGAUAACUUCAGGAAACUGGGGCUAAUACCGGAUAGGAGCUCCUGCUGCAUGGUGGGGGUUGGAAAGUUUCGGCGGUUGGGGAUGGACUCGCGGCUUAUCAGCUUGUUGGUGGGGUAGUGGCUUACCAAGGCUUUGACGGGUAGCCGGCCUGAGAGGGUGACCGGCCACAUUGGGACUGAGAUACGGCCCAGACUCCUACGGGAGGCAGCAGUGGGGAAUAUUGCACAAUGGGCGGAAGCCUGAUGCAGCAACGCCGCGUGCGGAAUGACGGCCUUCGGGUUGUAAACCGCUUUCGCCUGUGACGAAGCGUGAGUGACGGUAAUGGGUAAAGAAGCACCGGCUAACUACGCG
This 468-nucleotide ribosomal RNA is filed under the name uncultured bacterium. RNAcentral describes it as "partial 16S ribosomal RNA". It matches the Rfam family "Bacterial small subunit ribosomal RNA", at positions 28 to 507 of the family's 1533-position model. The record is from RNAcentral.